This 162-nucleotide ribosomal RNA is filed under the name uncultured bacterium. RNAcentral's name for it is "partial 16S ribosomal RNA". It matches the Rfam family "Bacterial small subunit ribosomal RNA", at positions 355 to 509 of the family's 1533-position model. The record is from RNAcentral.
UAGGGAAUUUUCGUCAAUGGGCGCAAGCCUGAACGAGCAAUGCCGCGUGAGUGAGGAAGGUCUUCGGAUCGUAAAGCUCUGUUGCGGGGGAAAAGGAAGCAGAAAGGAAAUGGUCUGCUUUUGAUGGUACCCCCGCCAGAAAGUCACGGCUAACUACGUGCC